UUAGGCCUCUGCCACCAUCAGAUCCCGUAUCCUCCACCGCUCAUUGGCAUAUCUGGCUGAAUUCCAAUGAACCAGAAAAUUGUAUUUCCUAACAGCUUUGAAGUCGUGGAAGCCUUGGUUGCAGAGGGACCGUGAUAUUAUUUGAGAUAGUUGUGGAUAUAGUGCCACCACCACUGUUGAGCCAGCUUUCUGCCAACGUCCGGUUUCCUGCCACCUUCUUACCACCAAGAUUGCAAAGAGAAACCCCUUAAGGCAGAGAGAGCCUACCACCACACUCUCCUUCUCUUGGCUCUCCCCCCCUCCCCAAAACAAUUCUAGAUGUUACUUAAGCUGGUUAUAGUCCUAAGGUAUGCAAAAAGAUCAUCAAUGGCUUGGAUGCUCACAACAUUAGACCCAUAAGACUUUUAAGAGA
Molecule: long non-coding RNA, 412 nt
Organism: Quercus lobata
Lineage: Eukaryota; Viridiplantae; Streptophyta; Magnoliopsida; Fagales; Fagaceae
Exons: 3
Source: RefSeq, a predicted model, not a curated record